GAAAAUCCUGGAAUUUUGGGAAAAGCGGGAUUUAAAAAAAAAAAAAGAUGAGUAAAUGAGUGAAUUGCUUGGUGUUGGAAUUGUUUAAAUCGGUCAAGAAAUGUUGAAUUAGUAACAGUUUUUGAUAGAGAAAUUCCUGGAAUUUCGGGAAAACCAGGAAUGUUUCUAGUUCCUUUACCAAGAAUGUAGUAUGAAUGUAAGAAGAGGUUGAAUGUUGGAAUUUCCAGGAAAACCGGAAUUAGGUUUGGAACUUGGGAAAGUGUCAGUUUGAAUGUCCAGGAUGAGUGGAAUGUGUUGAUGUUGGAAUGGUUUGAAUAGCUUGAAAAAUGUGGGAAUUGUGCAACUUGGAAAAAUGUCCCAUUCAUUUCAGUGGGAACUUCCUGGAAAUUUGGGAAAAGCGGGAUUUUUUUGAAAAUGAUUAGAAGCAUGAAUGUCCUGGAUGAGCUGAAUUGGUCUAAACAGUCGAGAAAUGUUGACGCGGUAA
This is a non-coding RNA of Nerophis lumbriciformis (worm pipefish), 484 nucleotides long. NCBI's taxonomy places the organism in Eukaryota, Metazoa, Chordata, Actinopteri, Syngnathiformes, Syngnathidae. The record is from RefSeq and is a predicted model, not a curated record.